Molecule: ribosomal RNA, 494 nt
Filed under: uncultured bacterium
Lineage: Bacteria
Description: partial 16S ribosomal RNA
Rfam family: Bacterial small subunit ribosomal RNA
Source: RNAcentral
GACGAACGCUGGCGGCGUGCCUAAUACAUGCAAGUAGAACGCUGAAGGAGGAGCUUGCUUCUCUGGAUGAGUUGCGAACGGGUGAGUAACGCGUAGGUAACCUGCCUGGUAGCGGGGGAUAACUAUUGGAAACGAUAGCUAAUACCGCAUAAUAUUGACUAUUGCAUGAUAGUCAGUUGAAAGGUGCAACUGCACCACCACCAGAUGGACCUGCGUUGUAUUAGCUAGUUGGUGGGGUAACGGCUCACCAAGGCGACGAUACAUAGCCGACCUGAGAGGGUGAUCGGCCACACUGGGACUGAGACACGGCCCAGACUCCUACGGGAGGCAGCAGUAGGGAAUCUUCGGCAAUGGACGGAAGUCUGACCGAGCAACGCCGCGUGAGUGAAGAAGGUUUUCGGAUCGUAAAGCUCUGUUGUAAGAGAAGAACGAGUGUGAGAGUGGAAAGCUCACACUGUGACGGUAUCUUACCAGAAAGGGACGGCGAACUACGU